GAUGAACGCUGGCGGCGUGCCUAAUACAUGCAAGUCGAGCGAACAGACGAGGAGCUUGCUCCUCUGACGUUAGCGGCGGACGGGUGAGUAACACGUGGAUAACCUACCUAUAAGACUGGGAUAACUUCGGGAAACCGGAGCUAAUACCGGAUAAUAUAUUGAACCGCAUGGUUCAAUAGUGAAAGACGGUUUUGCUGUCACUUAUAGAUGGAUCCGCGCCGCAUUAGCUAGUUGGUAAGGUAACGGCUUACCAAGGCGACGAUGCGUAGCCGACCUGAGAGGGGGAUCGGCCACACGGGAACGGAGACACGGUCCAGACUCCUACGGGAGGCAGCAGUAGGGAAUCUUCCGCAAUGGGCGAAAGCCUGACGGAGCAACGCCGCGUGAGUGAUGAAGGUCUUCGGAUCGUAAAACUCUGUUAUUAGGGAAGAACAAAUGUGUAAGUAACUAUGCACGUCUUGACGGUACCUAAUCAGAAAGCCACGGCUAACUACGUG
Molecule: ribosomal RNA, 497 nt
Filed under: uncultured bacterium
Lineage: Bacteria
Description: partial 16S ribosomal RNA
Rfam family: Bacterial small subunit ribosomal RNA
Source: RNAcentral